Molecule: long non-coding RNA, 309 nt
Filed under: Trifolium pratense (red clover)
Lineage: Eukaryota; Viridiplantae; Streptophyta; Magnoliopsida; Fabales; Fabaceae
Description: long non-coding RNA (TPRA_LNC011788)
Source: RNAcentral
CCUGAAUCGAUGUGAGAGAGAAAGACAAGCUUCGAUUCGUGAGAGUAGAGGCCGGAGAAAGAAAGAGAAGCUUCGAUUUGGAGUUAAGCUUCGAUUUGGAGUUAGGGUUCGUGGGAGAGAGGACGGCGCUGGUGGUGAGUUGAGAGAGAGGACGGCGCUGGUUCUUGCGAAGGUGAGGACGGCGCUGGGUUGCUGCGUUUUGGGUGCGAAUUGAAGGUGAGGACGGCGCUGGGUUUUGGUUCUUCGUACGUGAAGGUGAAGAGGGUGGGUGAGCUGGGUUUAUUUCUUUUGAUAAUUGGGAGAGAGAUA